Molecule: ribosomal RNA, 253 nt
Filed under: uncultured bacterium
Lineage: Bacteria
Also listed under: 1 other name
Description: partial 16S ribosomal RNA
Rfam family: Bacterial small subunit ribosomal RNA
Source: RNAcentral
UACGUAGGGUGCGAGCGUUAAUCGGAAUUACUGGGCGUAAAGCGUGCGCAGGCGGCGGCACAAGUCAGGUGUGAAAUCCCCGGGCUUAACCUGGGAAUUGCGCUUGAAACUAGGUCGCUAGAGUGUGGCAGAGGGGGGUGGAAUUCCACGUGUAGCAGUGAAAUGCGUAGAGAUGUGGAGGAACACCGAUGGCGAAGGCAGCCCCCUGGGUCAACACUGACGCUCAGGCACGAAAGCGUGGGGAGCAAACAGG